CAACUCUCUUACGGGUUGAGAUAUGCUAACAUUGGUCGAAGCCGAUGGAUCCGCUGUCUUCGUUUGAACCCUUCCUCUGGUUAUACAAACCCUAGCCUCCAGUGCACCACGCCGUUCGUCUUCGCCGGUCGACUUCGCCGUUUGACUUCGCCGUUCGUCUUCGCCGUCCAAACUAAAUUUGGUCCAAAAUCAAGCUUUGCUUAUGAUGAUGAGAUUGAGGAGUAACUCAAGGCUUAUAGUAUGCAUGAAUGAUUCACUUGCAAAAUGGUGGAUUAAAAUAGAAUGUGCACAAUUGCAGAAUUUCGUUAAAACAGAACCAGGGAAAAAAAAAAAAAAAAACCUAUCCGUCCGUACAACCCGGCAUGUACGGACGGUACGGGUCGGGUUGGCGCGCUUUGGGUAACCGGGUCGGAUCCGACAUGCAGAGAAAUCGGCUUUGCUUCACGGGUUGCAGGCCUAAUAUAGAGUUCAAAAGAGAGUUCCUCGUGGUCGCACUUGAAGUUUUAUAAGAAACGCGGAGAUCGAGAUCUUGUUACAGGA
Molecule: long non-coding RNA, 540 nt
Organism: Carya illinoinensis
Lineage: Eukaryota; Viridiplantae; Streptophyta; Magnoliopsida; Fagales; Juglandaceae
Exons: 6
Source: RefSeq, a predicted model, not a curated record